Molecule: ribosomal RNA, 253 nt
Filed under: uncultured bacterium
Lineage: Bacteria
Description: partial 16S ribosomal RNA
Rfam family: Bacterial small subunit ribosomal RNA
Source: RNAcentral
UACGUAGGGUCCGAGCGUUGUCCGGAAUUAUUGGGCGUAAAGAGCUCGUAGGCGGUUUGUCGCGUCUGCUGUGAAAUCCCGAGGCUCAACCUCGGGUCUGCAGUGGGUACGGGCAGACUGGAGUGCGGUAGGGGAGAAUGGAAUUCCUGGUGUAGCGGUGGAAUGCGCAGAUAUCAGGAGGAACACCGAUGGCGAAGGCAGCUCGCUGGGACGGUACUGACGCUGAGGCGCGAAAGCUAGGGGAGCGAACGGG